Hipposideros armiger (great roundleaf bat) is the source of this 818-nucleotide long non-coding RNA. RefSeq lists it as uncharacterized. The record is from RefSeq and is a predicted model, not a curated record. The transcript has 3 exons. Lineage: Eukaryota; Metazoa; Chordata; Mammalia; Chiroptera; Hipposideridae.
AGGGGAAGGGGAGUGCCUGGCGCUGCAGUGCAUACUGAAGCAGAGGAAACGCUUGUGAUUCCAGGGGUGGGUUUUCCUUGUAAGGAGGAAGGAGCAGAUACUGAUUUGUUACAGAUUUUUUUUACCGAAAGGGGCUGGGCACGGUGAAGGUAAUUUGAAUGAGGUGCAGUCCCUGUCCACAGCUACUUAAAAUCCAGUGGGUGAGACUGGCAGCCACAGCAGAUUAGAGCCUGAGGACACAGGCUGAAGGAGCCACUGCAUUGGUUUGCAUAAAGGAGUGAGCUGUGCUGUGGAGGAGGUUAAAGAAAAAGAAACAGAAGAAAUCACUAAUGCCUUCAAACAGUAACAGCAUGUUGAUUUACAGAAACCUCGUGACUGGGACCACGGCAACUGGAGUUGGUUAACCAAAAGAGAAGUUUCACCAUACCCCCUUGGACCCUUGCUGGCGUCUAGAUGUCUACAGUCAUCAAUCACCUGACCUCAAUCCCCUCCCGGUUCCCCCUUCCCCUGACAUAAAAUAAGCCAGAAUUCUGCCCUCUCUCAAGAUGGUUCCUUAAGACACUGGUCCACCAUCUUCUUUGCUUGCUGGCUCUCCAAGUAAAAUCACUUUCCUUGCCCCAACUCCUUGUCUCUUGACUUACUGGCUAUCGUGAGCAGCUCGUACUUUUACUCAAUUACAAGUUAAGUGUGUUGGUGUAGAGGAAGGAUUGGGAGUGCCACUACAGUUUUCAAUCUGAUGGUCAAGAAGGGCUUGGGAGAAGGGGCCCUUGGAGCAAAGACCUAAAGAAUAAAGACGGGGUUGGCCGAGUGGCUCAGAU